RNAcentral lists this ribosomal RNA (497 nucleotides) under uncultured bacterium. RNAcentral's name for it is "partial 16S ribosomal RNA". It matches the Rfam family "Bacterial small subunit ribosomal RNA", at positions 28 to 507 of the family's 1533-position model. The record is from RNAcentral.
GAUGAACGCUGGCGGCGUGCCUAAUACAUGCAAGUCGAGCGAACAGACGAGGAUCUUGCUCCUCUGACGUUAGCGGCGGACGGGUGAGUAACACGUGGAUAACCUACCUAUUAGACUGGGAUAACUUCGGGAAACCGUAGCUAAUACCGGAUAAUAUAGUGAACCGCAGGGUUCAAUAGUGAAUGACGGUUUUGCUGUCACUUAUAGAUGGAUCCGCGCGGCAUUAGCUAGUUGGUAAGGUAACGGCUUACCAAGGCGACGAUGCGUAGCCGACCUGAGAGGGGGAUCGGCCACACUGGAAGUGAGCCACGAUCCAGGCUCCUACGGGAGGCAGCAGUAGGGACUCUUCGGAAAUGGGCGAAAGCCUGACGGAGCGACGCCGCGUGAGUGCUGAAGGUCUUCGGAUCGUAAAACUCUGUUAUUAGGGAAGAACAAAUGUGUAAGUAACUAUGCACGUCUUGACGGUACCUAAUCAGAAAGCCCCGGCUAACUACGUG